AAAAUAUUUAGACAAGUACUUGAGUAUUGCAGGGCUAUACAUAAUAGGUAAAACUUUAAAAAAAAAGCUAAAUAUCCAUCAAUUAGAAGCUGUUAAACAAAUAGGCAAAUUGUAAUUCAUGUUCACAAUGAAAGGAUGUGCAUCUCAUAAACAAAAUGAUACAAGUUUCUGCUUCCAGAGUCAUAUAGGAAGGUAUUCAAGAUAAAUUCAUUAAGUGAAAAAAGCAGCUACAUACCAGCAUGCAUGCUGUUUUGCAAAUGAUCCCAUUUUGUGAAAAGAAUCAUGUAUUUAUUUAAUAGUGAUUUUACAAGCUAAUGUGCAUUGAGAACUUACUAUUUUCCAGCCCCUGUGCCACAUUAUAGGAUUAUUUUAGUAUCGUCCCAGUUUUCCAGACUAGGAAGUUGAGGCACAGAGUGGUUAUGUAAUUUGCCCAAGAGAUCAUACAGCUAAAAGAGACAGAACUGGGAUUUCAACCAGGUUUGUGGGAUUUUCAAGCCCAAAGCCCUUACUCACUGCACUGCUCUCCACCCAGGAAGACAACAUACCCAACACCAGCACAUUAAUAUGGAUUCCGAUUGUGUGGUGGAAUGAUGGGGAAUUGUUUUUUGUUAUGCUUCCGUGUAGCUUUUCCUUUUUUCUAUAAGAUGUAUUACCUGGAGCUCUUUUCAUAAGUUCCGGAACAAAUCAUAAAAAAGAUGGGGAAAAAAAUGCAACAAUGAGCAGAAUUUUCUGGAUCUGGGCCCAGAUAUCCAUCAUCAUCUGGCUGUGUAAUGCUGUCUGCUUACUCUGCUACUACCCUGGGAGACUGUUUCUAGUUACCUUCUCUACAUUUCUUUCUGCAUUUGCUUGUGCCUGGCUUACACUGAGAGUGCAAUCUGUCUCAUUUUGUCGAGCCUUCUUGCCUUGAUAAACUUCCCUUGUAAUAAUAUCUUCUACUUUAUUGUAGAUUGUAUUUUCCAAAGAUGGUGAUAACAGUAUCUCCCAUCCCACAUGCUGUGAAUAUAUGACUUUGCCACUCCUGUAUAAAG
This 1028-nucleotide long non-coding RNA is filed under the name Homo sapiens (human). Its description in RNAcentral is "HSALNT0312326". The record is from RNAcentral. Lineage: Eukaryota; Metazoa; Chordata; Mammalia; Primates; Hominidae.